Molecule: RNA transcript, 5713 nt
Organism: Tympanuchus pallidicinctus (lesser prairie-chicken)
Lineage: Eukaryota; Metazoa; Chordata; Aves; Galliformes; Phasianidae
Gene: PLPP7
Gene name: phospholipid phosphatase 7 (inactive)
Exons: 3
Source: RefSeq, a predicted model, not a curated record
GGGGGGGGGGGGGGGGGAACCCGCAGCAACCGCAACGUUUCGGCCGGGUCAAACUUUGCGGCAAAGUGACCCGAGCCCCGGCCCCGAGCGGCUCCGUCCGCAGCCCCGCAGCCACAUCGCGCUCCGGAGCGCAGCGCAGCGCAGCGGCUCUCCGUGCCCCGCACCGCCCGCCCUGCAGCGCUCAGCCCCAUCCCUCCCCCUGCAUUUCGCUUUUAAACUGCAGCUGUUGAAGCUAAACCUCCUUUGCAGAAACAGCAUUUCCUCCCACGUGGCCGUGAAUUGUGGGUAAUGUAGUUUUUGUACAAAUAAAGGGUAGGGGCUUUUUCCUUCUUCUUCGUCUUCCUUUUUUUUUUUUCUUUUCCUUUUUUCCUUUCUUCUCUCCUUCCUCCCUUCUUUUGUUCCCUCCUCCCCUCCCUCUUUUCUUCCUUCCUUCCCUCCUUCUCUCCUUCCCUUCCCCCCUCCUUCCUUCCUUUCUUCUUUCCCUCUCUCUCUCCCACUUUUCCACCCUUCCUCCCUUCCUUCCUCCCCUCCUUUUCUUUUUCUCAGCUCAGAUGCAAUGCGUUUUCUCGCAGUAUUGGUGAAGGUUUUUCUCCCAGCUGGUCGAUUCACUGAAGGGAUGCUCUCCAAACCUGCAGCCCUGGUUCAAGCAAUGGGAACGCAAAGCUCUCUGAGCAGCAGCUGGGGCAGGCAAUGGGAGAGCCAGAGGCCGCAGUGCGCUGGGUACUGAGGAUAGCGUUAGGGGUCGGUGCCACCCAGCAGAGCUCAGCACCAGGUGUGCACAUGUUGGGCAAUAGCUGCUGUGUGCUGAGCGUCGCACACCUACCUUGAUGCUCUCCUAAAGGGGAAACCCCCUGCGCUGAGAGCCAAGAAUGAUUUUGCGCUGCUCGCAGUGCUGCACGGCUGCCUGGAGCUGAGGAAACUCCUGUUACUCCUUCGUGCCCCGCGCUCACUGCAGACUCAGCACCUUGCAACAGCAAACUCAGCAUUUUCCAAUAUCUGUGCGCUUCUUGUCUGGCCUCCAGCAAAGAUGGGAGCCACGAGUUGCCUCUGGAGAGGGAAUGCCACAGGCAGGGCAGAUACCCUCCCGCUGCUCCUGCUGGCUCCGAGGUCCUGGGGGGCUCCUGCCCAUGCGUGCCUGGGAGCCCUGCUCCAACCCCGUGCACCUUGCAGCUGGGUGCUGCCCUUCCGUGCAGGGUGUGCACCGAAGACCUUUGUGCCAAUGAUGUGGCAGGGAGUGCAACCAUUGCCGUGUAUUGUUACGGUUUUCUUCCUAUGUUUCUCAAAAUGUCAGCUAAAUAUUUACCUGCUUGAAACUUCUCAGGAUGUCUGUGAAGGGUGCCGUUACCAGCCUUGAAACAGAGGGAAAAACUAAGAAUGAGUCCAGGAGGUGCAGGAAAGAAUGAAAUGAGCAUCUCCCAAUGAAAAAUCCAGUUUCUUCAGCAACCUCCAGAAGGUGCUGAAAUACUUUGACAUUUUCCAAGACUCUUUCACACCUUUCAAACAAGCUUGUCACAGUUUCUCAGAGCAUUAUGAAUUUGGUGAAGCUGCAUGUUCUGAGAUCCCAGCUCCUCUCUAGUUUCACCCCUGCUUUGCUUCAACUUGGCAUUCUCCCAUGUUCUGGUCGACUAGGAAAUGGCAUUAUCUCACUCUAAUUAAAUCAGCUUUUCAUCUUCAGCUGGAGUUUGCUUCGGUGUUGGCCAUGCCUGCCUCCAUUGCUCCGGUCAGUGUGAUUGAAUCACUGUGCCUCACGCAGCGUGGUUGCUGUGCCUUGCUGGUGGAGUUGGUUUUUGAGGCCAAGUACCAGCUGGGAGGAGCUGGUGAUGCUGGGGGUUGCUUUCCUUCCACUGUGUGCUUGAUGCUCCAUCCAUCACUGCCCUGUAGUGUGGUCCCAUCAGCCUCGUGCUUUCCAGGCUUGCUGAAAGGCAGAUUCUCCUUUCCUAUGAAAGAGAACAGCCCCACUGAUGGGACACUGCUGCUCUCCUCUCCUGCUCUGCUCUCACCACGAGCAGCACAUGCUUCCUUCACGCCUGUCACAUUCUGGCCCCAGUGUGCCAUGCAGAGCAAAGCCCCACGUCCACAAAUGUGUCAGAGGACAGACAGGCACCAGAUGAAAGCAGCUCCCAGUGCAGGGUAUUUUUUCCCCGUGACACCUCCCGAGGAACGUGCUCAGUAAUAGCUCAGCAUCCCCAGCAGGGGAGGGGACAAGAGGUGACGAGCCAAGCCGCUCUAUUUCUGCAGGUUCCUGGCCACCAUCACAUUAACUCUUUGCACACAGAUGCUUGCAAGGAGCCUUGCACCACAGCAGCCCUGCAGCAGGUGGCAUCGAGGUGUCCCUCGUGGGCUGCCUCAACCCCAACAGAAAUUCCUGAGGUGGAAGGAGCUGCACUGAUGUGUUGGGAAGGAGGGGAAGAGCUCUUCCCGCAGCCCACAGGCGCUGUCACAUGCUCGAGAUAGGCUCCUAGAGGAUGUGAUUCAGAAAUAAGUUGAUGUGUGUUAUUUUCCUUUGAUUCAUAAGCAAAACCCAAGAGGGAGUGAGGGCUCCAGCACGGAUUUGCUGGCCCAGCAUGGCAGUGUGGGUGUCAGACGGGCACAGUGUGCGGCUCAGCUCGAGGAUUGGAGAACCACAGACAAGAAGCACAAAGUUCUGCUUGCUGCCUCACAAAGCCAAGAACCACCUUUAAUUUAGCACUCAGGCUCUGCUGUACAUUUUGUAUAAGGCUUUUAAAGAGACACGGGUGCUGUUUCACAGUGUUACCCGUACCAACGCUGACCUUUAUGACUCCUCAUUCCCAUGGGGAAGCAGCAGCACGGAUCCAGGAGCGGCGCCCAUUUUGCCGCCUGGUGCCACGCUCACCUUCCCCACCUCCCUCUGCGGGGCCCCAGGGCUGCGGCGCUGCCAUGCUGGGGCUGAUGCCACCACUGCUGUGUGCAGCUCAGGGACGGGCUCUGCUGUCACCUGCUCUGAGCGCGGGGUCUGCGAUGCGAUGCGGGAUGACACGGCAGAAAGGCGUGCUGUAUUUAGGGCACGCUCAGCGCCGGGGGCAGGGGGAUGGGAAUUCAUUAGCAGCGCAGUGUCUCUUUUAAUCAGAAGGUGCUGCUCGGCUGGGGCUGGAGGCAGGGCAGCUAUGGAUGCCGUGCCAGGCAGGGGAUGGGGCUGGGGGUGUUUGCAAGGCGUUCACAUCAGGGAGAGGGAAAUGUUAUUGAGAGUGCCCCUGUGGGGAGGAGAGACAGAACAGAGCGGGCCGGGAGGGAUCCAGGUUGUGCCCUUUGCAGGGUAGUCACCGAGUGAUGCCCAGUUUGGAGGCUGCACUGACUGCCACAGGAGCACUGUGGUCGCUCCCAGCACUGAUGCUCUCUUCCAUUGAUGAUGCUCUGAUAUUAAAACGUGAAUUACACUACCAAAAAAAAAAAACCAAAAAAAAAAACCAAACUACAUUUCCCAGUUUCCCUUGCAGCUCUGGGAAAUAAGCUAUUGGAAGAUUUAAAUAGACCAGGCCAGAAGCAACCAACCUUUGGCACAAAGCAUUUCCCUCCUCUUCUUCCAAUCUAUUGGCUGUUUAACCUUUUUCCCUGCCACUGGAGUGGCUGCCAAGCCUGGCAUUAAUUUUCCUUCCAAGCUUGCUAGGCCCAUGAAGUAAACAGCCAUGUGCAUUCCUUACUCUAUAUUUAACAGCUGCAGACUGUGCUGGGGGCAACUGCAACAGAGGGGAACCUUUGUAGCUUCCCAAAUUCACAGCUCGUGAGGGUGGGCGUGGGGAAGAUUUCUGCAGGGAGAAGAGGGAUUUCUCUCCUCCCUGGUAUUUGCAAAGCAGUUCAAUUAGAGAAAGACUGCAAUGCCAGCAUCCCAGACUCGGUCCAGAGCGCGAGACAGGAACAAUGUCCUCAACAGGGCUGAGUUCCUCUCCUUGAACCAGCCCCCGAAAGGGACCCAGGAGAGCAGGAGCUCGGGCAGGAAGCAGAGCGGCCAAACAGCGGCGGCCGGAACCCAGAACAGCAGCCCCAAGGAGCAGAGGCAAUCGCAGCAGCUGCCCGAAGAGGACUGCAUGCAGCUCAACCCCUCCUUCAAGGGAAUCGCCUUCAACUCCCUGCUGGCCAUCGAUAUCUGCAUGUCCAAGCGGCUGGGGGUGUGUGCCAACAGAGCCUCGUCCUGGGGGGGUGCCCGCUCCAUGAUCAACCUGCUGGGGAUAACGGGGCACGGCAUCCCCUGGAUCGCAGGUACGCUCAUCUGCCUGGUGAAGAGCAGCACGCUGGCGGGCCAGGAGGUCCUCAUGAACCUGCUGCUAGCAAAUGCCAAACAGAGAAGCACGAUCUCAGCCUGUUACUGAAAAGAUGGAAGAAAUCGGCCGUCUGUGCCCACUAUCAAAAUCAUUCUGCCAGAAUGUGCUUUCAGGAAGACUGCCUUGGUACUGCCAGGCCUGGCUGCGAAAGAGUCAGGAGGAAAGUCUGCUCCCCCUCUGCCUCACUGCAGAAAUCAGAGCUUGGGAAGGCUCCCAGCUAAAGCUCGCUUUAUUUGUGUGGCACUGUUGGAAUUUCAGGGCCAGUCAGGCUGUUCUUUGCAGUCACAAGAAUCUCGUGGAAACUGAAAUGCUUAGAAAACCAUUUGAACCUUGCAACUGGGUUUUCAGAGGGAAGGCAGAUAUAAAGCUGUCAUCACUGGAGCUUCUCUAGAACCAGGCAGAAGAGCUGUUGAACUCUUGAGGGAAAGCAGUGCCUUGGUUUCUGGUUCUGAUCCAUCUGGAGAGAGCAUGGAUCCGAACGCAGUGAUUCAUUGGCUGCUAAGCCAGCAAAGAACGUUUGGAUCACUGAUCGAACCCACAGCAAAAUACAGGCGGUAGCACAUCCCUGAAUUUAUUCCUGUUCAAUUUGCUAAGGGAAAAAACCCAAACACUCAAUCAGACGUAAGAUUUGGAGUGGCGCUGAACUUGUCUGAACCAUUUCUGUAUCACAGAAUACAGAAUGCAGGGGUAGGUGAUCUCACAAGUGCAUUGCUCUUAGUUUGACUGCUCCCUGCCCUCCGUUGCCUCCGCACACCAUUGUCUCUUCAGCUGAAUAGCUCUUUUAUCCAGCAUCCCUUCUGCCUUUCAAUAUUUUGGACAGUGCUCAAGUCACCUUUUCACCUCCUAUUCAUUAAGCUUAACAGACUGAUCUCGUUAGACUGAUUGUCUUUCCAGAUUUGAGCACCUUCGUAGAGUAAGGAGGGAUGGAAUAUGGUGAUCUACCAUAGGGAGGCCAGGACUGUUUCUGCAGGCCUGGAGGUCAGCAAGAAUUCAGUCCAUGCUCUCCCCGUGGAUGCAGACCUAGCAUUAGUCCAACUGGGAACAAAGCCAUAACGCUGUGAGGCACAUCGCCCUGCAGAACGGCGACUUCAUUCUGAGCCCUAUAUAUAUGUAUUUAUAAAUACAUACAGAGAGAUCUCUGGAGGCCGUCAUGCAGCCUCCACACAAGAGCAAACUGCCAGGAAAGUGGUAGUUUAAGGGAAAAUGAAGAAAGAAAUGCCUUCCCCGGGUCCCUCAAAGACCCUCUGACCCUCCUCUAGCCGUACAGAGGGACUUUGUGUAUGGAGCUGCUUUCCUUCGGAAUCCACGCAGUGAAGAUUCGGAUCGUACAGCCCGCUGCUGUUAAAGCCCUGCUGUUGGACAUCAUGAUCGUGGCCGGGUUGCAGAAGUUGGCCAAGCGCAAGGGUCCGUACGACAUCAGCCCCGGGCUCUUGGAC